Molecule: ribosomal RNA, 330 nt
Filed under: uncultured bacterium
Lineage: Bacteria
Description: bacterial SSU rRNA
Rfam family: Bacterial small subunit ribosomal RNA
Source: RNAcentral
UUCGUAGGCGGUGUGGCAAGUCGGGAGUGAAAUCUCUGGGCUUAACUCAGAGGCUGCUUCCGAAACUGCCGUGCUUGAGUGUGGGAGAGGCGCGUGGAAUUGCAGGUGUAGCGGUGAAAUGCGUAGAUAUCUGCAGGAACACCCGUGGCGAAAGCGGCGCGCUGGACCACAACUGACGCUGAGGAACGAAAGCUAGGGGAGCAAACAGGAUUAGAUACCCUGGUAGUCCUAGCCCUAAACGAUCAGGACUUGGGGUGCCGCCCGUUCGGGCGUCGUCCCGGAGCUAACGCGUUAAGUCCUGCACCUGGGGAGUACGGUCGCAAGACUGAA